UACACUCCUGCGGGAGGCAGCAGUGGGGAAUAUUGGACAAUGGGCGCAAGCCUGAUCCAGCCAUGCCGCGUGAGUGAUGAAGGCCCUAGGGUUGUAAAGCUCUUUCACCGGUGAAGAUAAUGACGGUAACCGGAGAAGAAGCCCCGGCUAACUUCGUGCCAGCAGCCGCGGUAAUACGAAGGGGGCUAGCGUUGUUCGGAUUUACUGGGCGUAAAGCGCACGUAGGCGGACUAUUAAGUCAGGGGUGAAAUCCCGGGGCUCAACCCCGGAACUGCCUUUGAUACUGGUAGUCUUGAGUUCGAGAGAGGUGAGUGGAAUUCCGAGUGUAGAGGUGAAAUUCGUAGAUAUUCGGAGGAACACCAGUGGCGAAGGCGGCUCACUGGCUCGAUACUGACGCUGAGGUGCGAAAGCGUGGGGAGCAAACAGGAUUAGAAACCCCAGUAGUCC
RNAcentral lists this ribosomal RNA (447 nucleotides) under uncultured organism. RNAcentral describes it as "partial 16S ribosomal RNA". It matches the Rfam family "Bacterial small subunit ribosomal RNA", at positions 332 to 796 of the family's 1533-position model. The record is from RNAcentral.